CAAAUUUACAAUACUUGAGGUUAUGACAUGGACAUCAUUUAAAAAUUAGAAUUUAAUUUACAAGUAUGGAAGUUUAAUGACUAAAUGUUAUGCUUAAUUGAAGAAGGGGGAUUUUCUUUACAAAUUUUAGUUGUGGCCCAUUUAAAAACCACUUGUUCAUUUCAUUACACACACAAAAACAUAUACAAGAAUGUGGAAAGUGGAAACGGGGCAGAAGCUGGGAGAAUUCGAGAAAAAGAGGGAGAAAAAGAGAGAAAAAGGAAGAAAAAAAAGAAGAAAAGAAAGGAAAUGGAAGAGGCCGGUGAUUUUUAUAAGUUUGGGUUCUUCAUUUCUUCAGCUUAUCCUUAUUUUAAAGAGGUAAGUUAAUUAAAUUUCUAGAGUUUAUGAACCAUUCAUUCAUAUUCGAAGUUUAGCAAGAAUUAGAGAUUAUUAUUAUAUUUUUGAGGUAUUAAACAAGAAUAUAUCAAAGGAAUGUAUAUUUUGAAAUUUGUGAUGAAGAAAUUGGAAUUUUGAAGGGGUUUGUGAGAUAAAUACUUACUCUUUGAUUUUGUUGUGAUUCUAUAAUAUUGAACACUUAAAUUAGGGAUUUGAGGUUGGAAUUUUCCAUUUUUUAAAGGUAAUUUUAGGGUUACUGUAGUAUAGGUGCUAUUUCUAAAAGUGUGCCCAGAAUGUUGCCACUUCUAUCAAUAGUUUUGGGGCCAAAUUUCAAUAUCUAGAAAUUGGUGUCAGAUUUCAACAUUAUGGAAUUUUAGUGCUGUCUUUGUCAAACCUUUGAUUUCACAUUUUAAAGGCUUGAAUGAAGUUUUAUGACAAGUAUUGAGGUUUAUGUAUCGGAAUAAAUUAUGCAUAGGGGUUGUAUAUGUAUAAGUUAUUGAUUUUAAGGAAGUGUGAGUAAUUUAAUGGAUUUAAUAAUGCAUGGUGUUUUGUUGAUGAAUCAAUAAAGAAAAUAAAAGUUGGGGAACUAGAGAUGUAAAAGUAAAUAUAGAAGUUGGGGAGUUAAGUGGUGAAAUUGUAUUACUUUAAUUGUCAAGUUUUAAUUUGAGUAACUAUACUGUUAUUUCAGGUAAUGACGUGAAAGUUUGGAAAGACUUGUCAAUUUAAGUAGAUUUCUAUCCAUAGAUCUGUAAGUGGAAACAUAUAAAUGUUUUUAAAGUAUUUAUAAAUUAAGUCUAUUAUCAAAGUAUGUGCAUUUAUUUGCAAUUAUGUGUUCGAUUUUAUGAUUAUUACAGAAAUCUCUUUUAUUAGAAUACAUGCGGAAUCUCAAAGAUUAUUUAUGGCAUAUUUAUAAUUUGGUAUGUGAGACAUGUGAUAUUGAAAUUUGUUUGGUAUGUAAGACAUGUGAUGUUGAGAUUGACCAAAAAAGUACCCAUGAUUAUAUACUUCUUCUAGUUCACAGAGAGUCCUUGGCCGUGUUCUACACUACACUGAGGGGUCUUGGACCGUAGAUGAAGGGGUCUCGGACCGUAGAUGAAGGGGUCUCGACCGUAUAUAUAUAGUUUACAGAGGGGUCUUGACCGUGUUCUAAAAUUGAUUAUGAGAAGUCUUUGAUAUCGACUUUUUGUUUACGGAGGGGGCCAAAGGCCCAUGGCAAAAGUUCUUAACCCAAGUGGCGGAUUAUAUAUUUUAGUCAGAGGAUAUAUUUUUGGUGAAUUGUUCAAUACAUUUGCUGUGAUGAGAUUAUAGCAUGAUUACCACCUUUUGUUCAUAUUAUGAUUUUGAGAUGAUAUUUUACCACG
This 1736-nucleotide long non-coding RNA is filed under the name Olea europaea subsp. europaea. Lineage: Eukaryota; Viridiplantae; Streptophyta; Magnoliopsida; Lamiales; Oleaceae. The record is from RNAcentral.